This is a non-coding RNA of Drosophila virilis, 1248 nucleotides long. The record is from RefSeq and is a predicted model, not a curated record. Lineage: Eukaryota; Metazoa; Arthropoda; Insecta; Diptera; Drosophilidae.
CAGGGGUAGACAUAUAGCCUUAAGGGUGACGCUGGAUUGGUGGUUGUGUGAAAAGAAAAAUAAAACGACAUUCUGUUAAGCACACGAUGUCUUCUCAGCCAGAAACUUUGCGUCGUAGGCAGAAUUUGGUUAAAGAAAAAAAUGAAAGGAUACGAGCAUCUUGCAAGUCCUGCCUUGCUGUGGGGUCAUGAGAAGCAACAGCGCAAAAAAAAAGGUUGACAAAAAAUGUAGAAUAUAAAAAGAAGUAAAAAUAAAAAAUUUAAUAGAAAUUGGAAACUGGAAUGCAGAUAAGCUGAGGGAGGCAUAUGAUAGGUUUGAGUGAGACCAGACAAUUUGUUGGCAAGGCAUAACGUAGAGGUGCAAGGUAGGGCAUAUUGGCUAACUAAAUAAUUGUAAUUCACAAAAUAAAAACCAAUUCCAACAAGUUAUUUCAGCUCACUACAAAUUUAACAUUGUGCUAACAUUUAUGGAAGCGCUAACAUUCGGCUAACAUUGAAGCCAAUGUGCAUACAUAUAAGCCGGACAAAACAUAUGUUAGGGUAUUGCAAGUAUUUGACAAGCCAGACGAAAUGUGCCGGCAGCAUAGCAGUAAACUGAAGCGAAAUGAGAACAGACGGAACAUCCUCAUAAUCGUCAUUCACAUAGUCGUCGCCAUUUGCAGCAACCCCUUUUUCAGUGGGGUGCAAAACACUUUUUACAGCCUCUGCUUCUGCUUCUGCUCCUGCUUCUGCUGUGGCCUCUGCAUCCCCAAGGCGUGCAGCACAUAGACCGGCGACAUGGGAAAUGAAUGAGAGCUGACGGAGAGACGGCAACAGCGACAGCGUCAGCGUCAGCGACAGCGAAGGCGACGUUGCUGGCACAGACAUGCCGCAGAAUGCAAUCAACUUGAAAACUACUUGAGAAUCUGAGCGACGAUAUCGCUCAGGCAAAAGGGCAGAAACUGAAUCAGUCAACUCUUAACUUUGAUAUUUCAGUAGGAGAGAAAGAGAGGGAGAGAGCGCGCACAGUGCGAAUAGGCUAUGUUAAACGGGUUUGGCUAUUGGAGUUCAAAGUUGGACAUACUAAAUAAAUAGAUGCAUGCGCUUCUGAUAAGCUUAAGUCAACACAAUAAAGUUGUACAAUUAGCAUUAUUAAAUUAUAAUAUUUUUAGUAGUCACAUAUAAGAAAUUAUUAAUCGUAGUAUACUAUAAUCGUAAUUAUAAAACUUGACUUUGAAAACUAUUGAUAAUAAAAGCAUUGAAACCGAAA